This is a long non-coding RNA of Topomyia yanbarensis, 317 nucleotides long. RefSeq lists it as uncharacterized. NCBI's taxonomy places the organism in Eukaryota, Metazoa, Arthropoda, Insecta, Diptera, Culicidae. The transcript is spliced from 3 exons. The record is from RefSeq and is a predicted model, not a curated record.
UAGUGCGUUUUUAUUUCUGAUUGAUUUUCGGUUCCAAAAACUUUUUCCUUUUUGUUCUUUUAGUUCAUUCGUUGUGUAUUCACCCAAUGCCCGUGGCCUCCACAGGGCCCGCACUUGGUGUCUGGACACCCGGUUUUCGCCAUUUUUAGGUUAAGGGUCGGAAAUAUAAAUUUGAACCGGAUUCACUAUUGCGUAUUGUAUUGUUUCUAGGCUCUCCGAAAACCACCCUCCGAGACGUUUCUUUAUUUUUUUUUCAGCUAUGGUGUCAUGUAUGGGUAUUUUCUUCUUGCUCUGGUGCCUUCCCCCUCUCGACGGAU